RNAcentral lists this ribosomal RNA (271 nucleotides) under uncultured bacterium. RNAcentral describes it as "partial 16S ribosomal RNA". It matches the Rfam family "Bacterial small subunit ribosomal RNA", at positions 1113 to 1382 of the family's 1533-position model. The record is from RNAcentral.
AGUUGCCAUCAGGUAAUGCUGGGGACUCUAAGGAUACUGCCCCGGUUAACGGGGAGGAAGGUGGGGAUGACGUCAAGUCAGUAUGUCCCUUACGUCCAGGGCUACACACGUGUUACAAUGGCCGGUACAAUGAGUUGCGACCCUGGCAAAGGUAAGCCAAUCUCAAAAAACCGGUCUCAGUUCGGAUUGCAGUCUGCAACUCGACUGCAUGAAGUCGGAAUCGCUAGUAAUCGUGAAUCAGAAUGUCACGGUGAAUACGUUCCCGGGCCUU